Non-coding RNA from Podarcis lilfordi (Lilford's wall lizard), 2234 nucleotides. NCBI's taxonomy places the organism in Eukaryota, Metazoa, Chordata, Lepidosauria, Squamata, Lacertidae. The record is from the annotation of a GenBank genome assembly.
CCAGCUUCCCUUGACUUCGGUUGCUCAGCCUUUCCUGCUCUUGGUAAGUUGUCUUUAAAUCAAAGCUUUCAUAGGAAAAGGGCACAGAGGCAUUCGGUGACUCUGGAGGAGAUUCGCUAGGGAUUGUGUUUUGAAAACUUAAGGAACAGCUAGAGCUAUUUUUGGUCAUCUGCAUACUAUCCCUUGCUUUUUCCUGUAGGACUUAUUUCAGUCAUUAACAGUCGUCAACAGGUUUACCAUACCCAUUGAGUCAAUCACCCAUCUCCUACUAACUUCAUGAGAAAUGUCUCCCCUAUAUAUCUUCAUUCUUCUUUGGUAAUCACUCAUAGCCGAGUAAGAUUGUCUUCCAUAAACAUGGUUUUAACAAUGAGUCCCUAAGUGACUGUGGAGGCCAAUUCUGGAUCCACACAUCCUUCCACAGUGGGGACAUUGGUUUCUGGGCAGGAUUUGAUCACGGUGUGGAUUUGCCAAGGGUGCCUUCCUCAUAGCACGUUUCUCCCUUGAGUCCUGACUAUGAGUGUCUUCAGAGCCCAUGACAUCUUUGGUAAAGGCUGUUCUCCAACUGGAACACUCGCAGGCCAGUUGUCAGUGUUUAUACUACAUUUUUUAAAUUUGCCUUUAGACAGUCUUUAAACUUCUUUUGUUGACCACCAGCAUUACACAUUCCAUUUUUAUGUUCGGAAUAGAGUAGUUGCUUUGGAAGAGGAUCAUCAGGCAUCCACAUAACAUGACCAGUUCAACGAAGUUGAUGUUGAGGAAUCAUUGUUUCAACACUGGUGAUCUUUGCUUCUUCCAGUAUGCUGAUAUUAGUUCGCCUGUCUUCCCAAUAAAUGUGUAAAAUUUUUCUGAGACACUGUUAAGGUCUGGUGACUUUUGUUUCAGAGUAUCUGAAGAAGUGUGCAUGCACACAAAAGCUUAUACCCAGAACAAACGUAGUUGGUCUCUAAGGUGCUACUAGACAUUUUUUAUUUUAUUUUUGAGGAGCAGGGUAAUUAGAAAGUUGCAAACUUUCACAUUUGCCUCAUAGAUUUGGUGUGAAUCGCAGUGGAAACAUGAAAAUACUUACAUAGCUGGAAUAGUGUAAUGGAUUUGUUUUAGCCUGAGUGUAUUGUCUAAUCCAGGGACACAAAGUACAUUAUGAGGAAUGAGGAUUCACUCUAUUCACAUACUGAGGGUACUACAGUCGUACCUUGGUUUUUGAACAGCAUAGUUCUCAAACGUUUUGGUUCGCGAACUCCAGAAACCCGGAAGUGACUGUUUGCGAACAAUUUUUGGAAGCCGAACAUCUAAUGGGGCUUCUGUAGCUGCCGAUCGGCUGCAGGAGCUUCCUACGUCCCAUCAGAAGCCGCGCUUUGGUUUCUGAACGCUUAUGAAGUUGAACGGACUUCCGGAAUGGAUUCUGUUCAACUUCUGAGGUACGACUGUAUAGGAGAGGUUUUUUUUAUCUGACUAAGCCUUUAACAAAGUAACCAAGGACCACCUAAGGUCACUCUUUGAACUUGUAUACCCCCCCUCCUCAAAUUUUUAGUUUUGACUCGCCCAAUGCUGUUGCCAUGCAGGUGUGUGAGGAACGAAGACCUCAUUCUCCCCACAAAAAGGGAGGAAAAGUUGGGAGGAUAAGGGGCUUUUUGGUUAUUUUGUGUCUGUAUAUCGCCUUGCUAAAAAUCUAUCUGCUUGGUAUAUUUUACUAUUUCCUGUGAUGUAACUGGACACCACUUUCAGAAAAGAUUGCUCAUAGUAUUUAUUGAUGCAAAAUUUGUAAUUAAACAGAAUCCGAGUAGACAUUAGUGUACACCAUCUUAAAACUUUCAUGUUAUUUUUUCCAGAUUGACACCAGUUGUUCUACGAUGACUACAGCUGUAAUGACACCCAUUAUGAAAUGCAGAAUGCCUGUUGAAGUAAUGACGCAGGCAGACGACGGAACACUUAGGCCGAUGACAAUGUGGGUGGAGAUGGAGAUUGAUGUUAUGAAACCGGGAACAAACACCACUCUCCCCAACCCCAGCCCUGCCCAGAUAACUCAGGCUAGCAUGCUUGCUCCUUCACCAGCAAUGCAGCUGCCUUCACUGAUGCAACCAAAUUCUUUUGCUUACAAUCUCCCUUCUCAUCCAGCAACAGUUCCUAUACUGAGACGAAGAUGAGCUUGUCUCUCUUUUGAAUGGGAUUGUUAUCCCCCACAGGAAUGGGGUGUGGGGAAUGGUACCUGAAAUGCACACCAUGGAUCAACGUCUAAU